RNAcentral lists this long non-coding RNA (491 nucleotides) under Pan troglodytes (chimpanzee). Its description in RNAcentral is "long non-coding RNA NONPTRT008149". The record is from RNAcentral. Lineage: Eukaryota; Metazoa; Chordata; Mammalia; Primates; Hominidae.
GAGGGACAGGGCCAGGGGCUAGGGAGGGGACACGAUUGGGGGUGACCUCGGUUAAGGGCCUGACUCCCCAACACCUCUCUUUCCAGAGCGGCUUCACAGCAGGACCACAGGAGUCAUUGUGGCCAACUUCGCUGGAGGCUUGGAGAUCUUUGGGGCCAUUAAGGCAGAGCUGCAGGGCCUAGAGAUUGAGAUGCUGGUGAACAAUGUGGCAUGCUGUAUGCGCAGGGACGCUUGAGGAAGCCGCUCGACUGUGAGAAUGUCGCCAGAGUGAAACAGAGUCCUAGCCCACCUGGCACCUCUUCCUCCAACUCUUUACUGCCCUCUGUUGGAAAACUCGCGUAAUAUACAAAGGAGUCUCUCUCUGUGGCCACCACUGCUCCAGGCCCAUGGCGGGUACUGCCUGGCUACUGCUGAUGUUCACUCAAGGCCCAGGCCCUCUUCAGUCAGUUUGUGUUUUGCAGGUAAUUUGGAACUCUGGGAAACAUCUCCAA